GACGAACGCUGGCGGCGUGCUUAACACAUGCAAGUCGAACGAAGUGGCGAACGGGUGAGUAAUACGUGAGUAACCUGCCCUCCUUUUUGGGAUAAGCAUUGGAAACGGGGUCUAAUACCGAAUCAAGGGGGAUGGGCUCGCGGCCUAUCAGCUUGUUGGUGGGGUGAUGGCCUACCAAGGCGGUAACGGGUAGCCGGCCUGGGAGGGGGACCGGGUACAUUGAGACAGCUAUAGGGCCCAGACUCGUACGGGAGGGAGCAGUGGGGGGUAUUGGCAAAUAGGCGGAGGCCUGAUGCAGCGACGCCGCGUUGGGGAUGAAGGGUUUCGAGUUGUAAACCUCUUUCGCUAUCGAAGGGGUAGGUGGAGAAGAAGCGCCGGCUAACUACGUGCCAGCAGCCGCGGUAAUUC
Molecule: ribosomal RNA, 408 nt
Filed under: uncultured bacterium
Lineage: Bacteria
Description: partial 16S ribosomal RNA
Rfam family: Bacterial small subunit ribosomal RNA
Source: RNAcentral